Long non-coding RNA from Homo sapiens (human), 3512 nucleotides. Ensembl annotates it as long intergenic non-protein coding RNA, p53 induced transcript. Its record names the gene LINC-PINT. The record is from Ensembl. NCBI's taxonomy places the organism in Eukaryota, Metazoa, Chordata, Mammalia, Primates, Hominidae.
AGCGGAGCCCUCCCUGCUCCCGGGCGGCUCUGGAGGAGCUCGGUGUUUGCCUCUAGCCCUUCGCUACCGGAGGAUCAGGUUCCUCCCCUCCUCCCCCUCCAGCUCCGGCCGCCGCCGCCGCCGCCGCCGCCUCCUUCUUGCAUGACACAGCAGAACCGCAGCUGCUGCAGCAAUUUCAAGCCAUCCGCCCAGGAAGCGCCGCAACCGGGACUCGGGAGGGGUGGAGGGGGCGAGGCAGAGGCCGCGGCCCCAGGGGAUCCUUGGCCCCACUGUGCACCACACACUCCUUUCCCAGCCCAGGGGCACGCGAACAAAAUGAGGCUCAAGCUGACCAGGCCGAGCCGGAGGAACGCUGGGGCUUGGCAGCAGAAGGGAUGGGACCAGAGAGAAGGGUGUGGAGGAGACCCCAGUGAGGGCCAGGACAUUUCAGGUAAAGAGAGGUCAUAUCUCCGUACCUCACUUCCUGACACAAACAAGUUUUCACUGUUGUCAGCAACAAAGCCCUAAUAUAGCUGCGGAAGAGAAAAACUGCAUUGCAUUUUGCCUCCUGCAAGCAUCAUCAACAGUUACUGGAGGAACGUAAUUCCAGAAAGCUUGAAAGCCGUGGUGAUGGUAAUUAUGUAUCAAAUGCCUGGUUCUAUUUCUGUUAUUAUUGUUUUGUCAUUUCUGUUUUCCCAGCGAUCUGACUGAACUCGCAGAGGGACAAAUCCAGUUUUUCUUUUUGACUUUUGUCAAACUAAAUCAGGCCUGAUAGAAAACUCAUUGCUCUCCGGGGAAACAAAGUAGGAGCCACGAAAUGUCAUUUUAACAGAGCGUGGGUUUGGUGACUGUAGGAAAGGAUUUGAGGACGCUCCUUCUGUUCGGCUUCCUAUGUCAUGAGCACAGGCUCCACGCACGCACAGACACCACGGCUCCCGGAUGCUGUGGCUCCCCGAUCGGGGCUCCUGCAGCGCCAGAAGCCCCUCCGGGAUGCUUCGAGGGGCUCCCGGUGGGUGGAGGUACGGACGCCGCUGCGGCCGCCGCCGCCAGUCCUGCUGCUGUUGUUGCUGCUGCAGUCACGUGGGAGCCCCUUUAAGUUUCCAUAGAGAGGCCUCUCUGGUGUCACAUGAUGGACAUGAUAUAAUGAAACAACAUUGUGGAGAGGAAAGCAUUAGGGGAGCCCACGGCUACAAAAACAAGUGAGUGAGAAGAGGUGGGAGGAAGAGAAACUACGCCACCUCCCCUGCAGCCGAGUGCACGCAGCAGCCUGGCGUGACAAGUGGGCGACGCCGGGGGGCAGGGAGCCGGGGUCCUUGGCCCUGGCCGGGGACCCCACCGCCCACCGCGCGGAGGACAACUUUUAGCCGGCAGCCCAGACCAGCGCGGCACCUGUCUCCGGAGUCUCCACCGCUCCUCCCGAUUCAUCCCAGGGAAAUUCUCAAGAAUACGCUCUACAAAUCUACGUGCGCAUCAUUUUCACCUCGCGUCGCGCCCGGGAGGAAGGAACGAGGCAAGGAGCUAAAGCAGCGUGCGUUCAGCCCUGGGGCAUUUUAUUAAUGCUUUUACGAGUUAGAAGAGUUGGGAUAAUUUGCCAUCUGGAGUUUCUCUGCCUUGCUGAUCUGAGCUCAGACCUGCCAAUUUACCAGAGAUAAUUGAUAACACCCUGUAACAGCUGAAGACAGAGUCUUACCCUGUCACCCAGGCUGGAGUACAAUGGUGCGAUCUCGGCUCACUGCAACCUCUGCCUCCUGGGUUCAAGUGAUUCUUCUGCCUCAGCCUCCUGAGUAGCUGGGACUACAGGAGGAAAAUGGAAGAAACGGAGAUACUUUUAGUGAAGCAGAAUAAACCACUGAACAGGAAAAAUGAGGAAGCUGUGAGUACCAGUGGAAGGAACGAGCCAGGAAGAGGGACUGGAACCAUCUCAGAAGCCAUGCCCCUCAGGCUGGAACUUGCCCUGUCUCCUCGCAGAUGAGGUAGGAGGCUCAGCACGGGCUGGUGGGAGCAGCCCACAGCAGCAGUGAGGGUCAGUGGGCCUGUGAGUUAAGAAGAAGGUGGCACAGAGCGAGGGUCUCUGGAUCCUGACUGUUUGACUUUUCCAUGAUUAGGAUAAGUAGCCAGGGCUUGGCUAGUUGGAGAGUUACUCGAACCUCAGGUGACAGUUGUAAGGCAGCACAUAGUGAAAAAGAGUCCUAGCCUGGGAAAGUCCAAAACCUUAGGUCUGGUUUCAGUUCACUCACCUAUCUCUGUGACAUAGCAAAGUCUGUUAAUUUCUCUAAUUUUCUGAUUAGUAGUAUAGUUGCAGGAAUGAAAUAAAAAUGGUCCUGAUUACUCAGAGAUUCAUUUACUGAUUACUCUUUUUGUGACCUGAAUAAAGAGUACAACAUCUCUCAAAAGGUAACAAUAUGAUGUUUCAGGAAAUUAGAGAAGUUAAGAGACUUUGCUGUAUUUACUAUACAGAUAGUUGACUGACAGCUGAGCCCGGACCCAAGAUUCAUUUAUAAAAUGAAGGAGUUGAGAAGUACAUACUCUGAGGUUUAUCCUAAAUAAACUGAAGUCUAGGCAAGUGGCUGAGCUAGGUUUGCCAUGAAUCAAUCUGCUGAGUAUAUUUCUUGGUAACUAGUUCAUCUUUCCUUAAUUCAGUCAACAAAUAUGAUAUCAAGUUUAGUAAGAUGAUGACAGUUGUCAUGUAAUACUCCAUCUGGAAGAUUGUAUGCUUCUCAGCUUCCCUAACUUUUCUUAAUCUACCUUAAGCUUCCUUUCUGAAAGGUUUCUGUCUUUCCUAACAGUCUCUUCUUUCCGCCAGCUACCUCUUGUGUUUAAGAAUUAAAGGAAGAUGAGCUAGGAAUCAAGAAAUACGCAGAACUGAUUCCUGUCACUGGCGCCACCCUGCCACUUGCCCAGAGCUGUGGUAUAAAUUUUUUUAAUAGGCUGAAAUAAAAAUAUGAAUAGCAUUUUGGUAUUAAGCAUUAAAUUGAUAAAGGCUAUGAGAUACACCUGCUCUCAACCAUGUUAAUUUUUUAUUAUUGGUAUUAAUAAAUUAUUACUUACUAACAUAUUAACAAGAAUUGCAUUGAGAAACAAAGCAUCCACAGGCCAAAUCUUCUGAAUUUCAAAUGUUUAUAUUAAUGCGUUGUAUUCUAGAAAAGUAGAAUUGUCUUAAGUAGCUUUGUAAUAUAAAGUCAUCUAUCAGCCCAUUACACCUAUUAGAAUGUUUUAACCUUUAUUUCCCACUUUUUUGUUUCUAGACUGAGUGUACUUGGUCUGGUAUUUGUGGCAUAACUUACGGAACACAUAAGAAUGAUACAGAUACUAUUUAAUGAUGACCUAAUACAAGCUUAGAUAGCUAAGGUGAAAGCUUCUAUGGCCUUAACAUUUUCCUCUUGAAGAAUGUAUUUUCUGUAAUAAAAUACAGUGGCUACUUGAAAUCUAUAAACUUAUGUGAGGUCUGGAUAAAUCUGAGCAACUUUCUUCUUUGUGCUCCAGGAACCUACGCACUAUAUAUAUAAAUAAAGCUUAAGUAAACAUCACUGCAA